AGUUUCCUGGUCAAAGACCACCCUUCCUUCGAAUUCUGUUCCCCCAUGUGGACACUUGAAAUGACCUCAGGUCCAGUAACUCUGUAUUGAAUAGUGAGAACCUGGCUAUGUGAGGAGAAAAAGGGAGUCAAAUAUGAGGUCAAAGUAGUAAUAGUGAAACUAGGUAAAAGAAUAUAGUGGAGUUUAUCAUGAAAAAGAGAGGUUGAGACUAGAAGCUUCAGGAGGAAAGCUAAGUUGUUUUGCAAGGAAAUGAAUGGUUUGGGUGUCUUUUUACACAGGGCACUUCAUACGACAGCAAUCCCUGCCACCAGGGCUCACAAAGUAAUUCAGGCAGCAGUAGCAGUGCUUGUGGUCAGAGUUCAUCCAACUGUGCAGGCAGCAAGACUAUCGUUGCCCGGGAUACAGCUCAUGCUCUAAGCAGAAGCAGUUACAAUGGACAGAACGAAUCCUCUAGCACAAACAGCAUUAGUGCCAAUGUCGAGGGUGGAGCAUUUAUCUCAUUCAACAAUGCUUCCAAUAGCCAGGGAUUACCUUCAGGAGGAAACUAGUUUGGUGGAGAUGGCUCAUAUUCCUCAGAAGGUGGUUACAGAAGCUCUGCUGGGACACAGUCCAGCCCUGGCCUUUUGCUACUAUUCAGUGUUUUGAGUGCCUUUGCCAUCUCUUCUUCAGUUGUGCCCAAGUGAACAUCUGAAGAUGUGACUGGAGACCACAAAGCGUAUUCUGUAAUAACAGAUUAAUUUUCUGUACAAAAUUCUAGUCAACGUUGAAUAUAUAAUUUGCUGGUUUGUUGUAAUGUCAUUAUGUAUGGUUAAUAUGCCACGCUUUUGAUUAGUUCUACCUUUUUUAGUUUACAGUAUAUGCUGGUUUAUUUUUCAGUAUUUUAGGCAUCAUUUGAAAAGGAGAUAUUGUGCCCUAACUAUAUUAAUUUUUAUUUCUAACUGAUGUGAUGAAUACUUGAUUUGAAUCUGAUCUAAUUGUGAAUCCAGCCUCUCAGAUAUCUGGAACCACAUGGCUAUUAACCUGGGGGGGGAGGGGGGAUUGCAGAUUGUCAUGUGUGAAAGCUGAAGGCUCUCACUCGUCAUUACAUAAAGCCAAUCCUGUAAUUUGUAUAAAAAGGCCUCAGUGGAACAGAAAAGCAGUGUUGGACCAUUACUCUUAAUCUAUUAUAGUAAUUAAACUAGAACUAAGUGUCAAUCUUGCAAUGCACAAAUUUCUUAUUGCAGUGAAACUUUUGGAUAUUCCACCUCUUCCAUAAAAGGCCAUUGAAGGGAGACCUUCUGAUACUUAAAAUAGAACACCGUGUGUCUAGACCAGUGGUUUUUAACCUUUUUUCAUUUGCAGACCUCUAAAAAAGAUUUCAAACUGGAGGUGUAGACCCUUUGGAAAUCUUAGACAUAGUAUGUGGACCACAGUUUGAAAACCACAGAUCUGGACACACUCCACCUAAUGCCUUAGUAGGGAGUGUAGCCCGGAAGAAGCUAUGGAAGGCUAAUAACCUUGGAACUGGUGAAAACCCACCCACUCUGGGAAUGUUUGAGAAUUACUCUGGCUACUGAAACUGCUAGUAUCUCUGUAUCAGCUCUCUUUCAGCAAGUAUUUUGCCUAAACUACAAGACCUGAUUUAUUGUCAAAUUUAAUCUCAAGAAUGAUAUUGAGAUCCAUAAAAUAGUAUUGAUGUGCAGCAGACAUAGUCUGAGAGAAACAUCAUCUUUGACUGGCAAGGAUUUCAAGGAAACAAAGUUUUACAUAUAGCAUCUUUUAGCAGUGUUUUCCCUUGGAGCUCUGUUCAGAAGUGUUGCCUUUGAAAGGCUGGAUAUGGAAUCUGGGAAGAUGCAGAUUACACCCAGAAAAUGCAAAUGCUAGUAGUUUUAAAAUGUAACCUGUUAACAUACUCACUUCCAAGCAAUAAAUUCCUAGCAGCAGGUAAAUGGUGUUUAAUAAAUUACAUCUUUAUUGUACUGUCUCUAACAGAUGUGUACAACUGUCCUAGUUCCAACAGCAUGGUAUGUUUUAAAAUAGGUUGAAUGUUAACCACAUGCACCUAAAACACUUUAAAAGAAAUUAAUCCAAGACCUAUAGAAGUUGUACGUAGUCUUAAAGCACUUAAAACUAUAUCCACACUGUAAACCUCCUAAGUAGGUACAUGGAUGAAAUCCUGUCCCCAUUGAAGUUGAUGGGAAUUUUGCCAUUGACUUCAAUAGGGCCAGGAUUUCACCCAUUGCUGUUUUUUCCCCCUAUGUUCUGUACAGAGCACACUGUCAGCAUUCCAUAAAUACUUAAUAUUAUCAAACCAAAUCCUGAAGUCAUUACUCACUCAAAAUGAGUUUUGCUUGAAUAAGAACUCCUAGAUUUGACCCAUAGUGCAUAUCUUUAAAACAGAUUUAUAUAUACAAUAAAAUAGUUAUCUAAAAUACAA
Molecule: long non-coding RNA, 2416 nt
Organism: Caretta caretta (loggerhead turtle)
Lineage: Eukaryota; Metazoa; Chordata; Testudines; Cheloniidae
Source: RefSeq, a predicted model, not a curated record